This 2243-nucleotide unclassified non-coding RNA is filed under the name Leishmania donovani. RNAcentral describes it as "gene:LdHU3.03.0690(CDS-product:hypothetical_prote in_conserved)". Lineage: Eukaryota; Euglenozoa; Kinetoplastea; Trypanosomatida; Trypanosomatidae. The record is from RNAcentral.
CCGAUCCCCCCUCCCUCAGCUCCGAUGCGCGGGAAGGGGCACAAGCGUCUCGCUGCACGGUCCUUCCAGCAGUGGCAGAAGCUCCACUACAAUGCACUGUGCGACCGUCAGAUGCCCACGCCGUUGCACGCGACGUUGCGACUCCCCGUACGUCGUGUGGCGCACCCGCCGUCGUCAUGUCCGUCAGCGCCGGCGUCUGUGGAUGUCCAGCUGGCGACGAACAGCAGCGCGGUGCUGCAGUGGUGGCAGCGCGAGUACGACCCUUUUCUUCUUGGGUGCGACGCUAGUGCGCAAAGGACGGCCGGCCCAACGCCGCCAGCGACGACCGCGACGCAUGUACUGGCCAGCACGCGCGUCAGUGCCCACGUUGGCCCGCCAGCACCGCCGCUGGGCUACCCCGAUUACAUCGCGAUAGAGGCAAGGCAGCACACGGAAGGUGUCCUGCGGGGCGAGACGUACGCCUACCACCACGCAGCGGCGGUAGGGACUGUCCCGGCGCCGCCACCGGGUGCGGCGUACCCUUCACCAGUGAAGUGGAUCCAGCAGCCAUUGCUGGACGGCUUCGUCGCGCAGCGCCUCACUGCCCACACCGGUGUGACGACCGGCUCGCUUCUCGACACCCGGCGUACGGCGAUGGCACUCGGUCGUCAGCUGCCGCCCGUUGAAUUAUCGCCGUUCUACGCGGCCAGUGCGUUGCUGGAUCGGUGGUGCCUUUUCGGCGAGGCGGCAGCAGUCGUGCCGUCCAUGCCGGCGUCAUCAGGCGCCACCUUGGAUGGGACACAGCAGCCGCACGAUGCGGCCGCGCAUCACCUCCGCAUCGCAGAGCUGGCGCUCGGGGCGGGGCUUCUGUCAAACUACCGCGCCGUGUGGCUGAACGGCGCCGUGCUCUCGCACCCCGGCACAGGCCGCUCUGUCCUUGUUGUCGGUCCCCGACGCAGCGGGAAGACUACGCUGGCGUUGCACUGCCUUUCGGCGGCUGCGAUCCAGGCGUCCAGCAGCGCGAGCGGCGACGGCGGUGUGCGGCUGACGGCGGUGGAACACUUCUUCCUCGCAUCUGGCAUGCCUGUUCGACGCAUGCUAGACCCUGCCAGCGCGCGGCUCGCAUCACCGACCAUCUUCGCGUGCUCACUGCCGCACCACAUCACCGUGGGCCUUGGCGCUGUGUUGGGCACCCUGCGGCCGAACCCUGGCUUGGCAGCCGCCGUGGAGCUCCCGCCCUUUCUCCAGUGCGAGGCCGGCCUACGCGCUUUCCUGCGCAACACCGACGGUGUGCUGUGGAACAUGAGCAAGACGUACCGCGUGCGACUCGAAGACACCUACAGAGCAUCCUCGCCUGACACCAGCACGCAGUGGGACCCCGUCGUCAUAAACACCCUGGCAGGCGUAGUGCUGCUCGACUGGAACGUGGAGGAGCUCGCCAGCACGUCGCCGACGCCGGUGCGCAACGCGGUUCGCAAGAUCCCACUGCACGACGGCGGCGUGGAAGAGCUCCUGAAGCGGGCACACGACUACAUGUUUCACGGGCAUCAUCUCCUGCGCACGGUCUACGACGCACCGCAGGACGCACCCGCACGGCUCGCAGGCGCUCUUGCAGAUGAGUGGGACACGGCGCAGCCCCAGUCCCUCGCUGACGGCACCGCGCCAGCCCUGCACUGCAUCGAAGGUUCUGUUAACUUCGACCUCGCCACGCAACUUAUCAUGAGCCUCCUCAGCGAACGUGCGUGAAAGAGCCCCCACCCACUCCCUCUCCCCCAGCGGCCCGCGACAGGCACACACACACACGCACGCGCACGUGACCUCCACUAAUCACCGCAACGUUCAACACCAAAAACAACACAGCAGUGAAAAGCGCGCCCACCAGCCAGCCAAACAACGCCAUCGACCCGGGCCGCUUUUGGGCCCGCCCGCCCACCGCACAUGCCAAAGAGCCGGCGAAACACAGAACCCGGCACGCCCCGAGAGCCCCGCACAGGCGGCGCGCAGGAAAAGGGCAACGCUGGCAACCAUUUCCCCCCAACGCGCCCACCCCCGCCCUUCCCCGAAACCCGCCGGCCACGCCCUCUCCCCCGGGCCGUGCCGGGGCCCCGCUCGCCAGGCUAGAGGCGACAAGCGCCCGCCGGGGACCGGCCCCCCGGGCGCGGCCCGGCACCGCGGGGGCGGUGGGGGGGGCCAGACCCCCCCCCGCGCAAACGCCCCGGAAAACGAUAAUUUACACACCCACAACACCCGCCCUUCUCUGAAAG